UUCCUAUUUUAAUUGUCAUAGUAAUUUCUUACUUCAUUCCAGUAUAUGUUUCUUAAUUGAUGGUUCUUAUAGUAAGCAAAGCUGAAUGUAAAAUAUUGUUUGAAAUAAACAUCUUUUGAUGGCGCAGUUGUACAAAAUGUGUCUUUCUGCUGCCCAUAUACAGUUAAAAAACAAAAGUAAUUUGACUAUAUUAGGCUAAUUUUGCUAGACAGAUUCAGUUCAUGCUUCAGCUGUCAGAACAACUGCUGCCUUCAUACUGAUACUGAUUUUGACGUUUGUUUGAGCAACUGAAAUAUCACAGAUUCAAGGAAAGAAUACUUCUAAUCAGCUGCUUACAAAUAAUAAUGGGACCAAGAAUUAUUCACAGAAGAAAUUCCUCAAUAGCUGCAUGAAGCACAUAUACUUGAAAAGAAUUAUAAGGAGAGUACACAUGUGCCUGUAUCCAUCAAGUGACAUCAUACUCCUCAACAGCAAACAACAAACCUUUGACCCUUAGUAAGAAACCAAAAGCAACAACUACAGCAUGUCUCAGGAAAAUAGGAGUCUCCAAGA
This 552-nucleotide long non-coding RNA is filed under the name Struthio camelus australis. RNAcentral's name for it is "lncRNA (ENSSCUG00000000514.1)". Lineage: Eukaryota; Metazoa; Chordata; Aves; Struthioniformes; Struthionidae. The record is from RNAcentral.